This is a non-coding RNA of Flavobacterium segetis, 68 nucleotides long. NCBI's taxonomy places the organism in Bacteria, Pseudomonadati, Bacteroidota, Flavobacteriia, Flavobacteriales, Flavobacteriaceae. The record is from Rfam.
AAUUAGCCCUGAUUGAAGUGGCAUCCUCGAAGCGCAGCGAAGAGAUACAGCGUAAAGCAGGACGAAUC